ACUGCUCAGUAACACGUGGAUAACCUGCCCUUGGGUCCGGCAUAACCCCGGGAAACUGGGGAUAAUUCCGGAUAACGCAUAUCUGCUGGAAUGCUCUAUGCGUAAAAUGGAUUCGUCUGCCCAAGGAUGGGUCUGCGGCCUAUCAGGUAGUAGUGGGUGUAAUGGACCUACUAGCCAACAACGGGUACGGGUUGUGAGAGCAAGAGCCCGGAGAUGGAUUCUGAGACAUGAAUCCAGGCCCUACGGGGCGCAGCAGGCGCGAAAACUUUACAAUGCGGGAAACCGUGAUAAGGGGACACCGAGUGCCAGCAUCAUAUGCUGGCUGUCCAGGUGUGUAAAAUACACCUGUUAGCAAGGGCCGGGCAAGACCGGUGCCAGCCGCCGCGGUAACACCGGCGGCCCGAGUGGUGAUCGUGAUUAUUGGGUCUAAAGGGUCCGUAGCCGGUUUGGUCAGUCCUCCGGGAAAUCUGAUAGCUCAACUAUUAGGCUUUCGGGGGAUACUGCCAGACUUGGAACCGGGAGAGGUAAGAGGUACUACAGGGGUAGGAGUGAAAUCUUGUAAUCCCUGUGGGACCACCUGUGGCGAAGGCGUCUUACCAGAACGGGUUCGACGGUGAGGGACGAAAGCUGGGGGCACGAACCGGAUUAGAUACCCGGGUAGUCCCAGCCGUAAACGAUGCUCGCUAGGUGUCAGGCAUGGCGCGACCGUGUCUGGUGCCGCAGGGAAGCCGUGAAGCGAGCCACCUGGGAAGUACGGCCGCAAGGCUGAAACUUAAAGGAAUUGGCGGGGGAGCA
RNAcentral lists this ribosomal RNA (795 nucleotides) under uncultured archaeon. Its description in RNAcentral is "bacterial SSU rRNA". It matches the Rfam family "Archaeal small subunit ribosomal RNA", at positions 85 to 878 of the family's 1478-position model. The record is from RNAcentral.